GCCAGCGUAGUGUAGUUGUUGAGUGCUGGACUAUGACUCUGGAAACCAGGGUUCAAUUCCCAGCUUGGCC
Molecule: non-coding RNA, 70 nt
Organism: Phrynosoma platyrhinos (Desert horned lizard)
Lineage: Eukaryota; Metazoa; Chordata; Lepidosauria; Squamata; Phrynosomatidae
Source: the annotation of a GenBank genome assembly